Long non-coding RNA from Homo sapiens (human), 1527 nucleotides. Ensembl annotates it as IGF1R antisense imprinted non-protein coding RNA. Its record names the gene IRAIN. NCBI's taxonomy places the organism in Eukaryota, Metazoa, Chordata, Mammalia, Primates, Hominidae. The record is from Ensembl.
GGGAAGCCUCCCUUGGCCGCGGUCCCGACCCGGGAACACGCCGCAUGCACUCGGGAUCAGCGGCUACUGCGGAAACCCACCCGCACCUGUCUCGGGUCCUCCCAGGCACGUUCCUCUUGCUUCGUUUGCUACGUAAGUGACUGGAAACCAGUACCGACCCUAAGUCUCCGCGGUUGUUUUCUUGAAUGUGCAGGAGGAGAGGUUUCCCCAAAGCGAGACUCCCCUAGGACUGCCAUCUAAUGAAUAAAUGCUGCGGAGACCAGGUCCUCAAAGAGGGAAACAGCCCAGCAGUGGCAGGAGAGAGGAGUUUGAAAUACGUGGACUUUUACAAACAGUGAUUGGACCAUGUGUCGCCCUUAAUGUGGUCCGGUUUCAUGACUCAGGCUAAUUGAUGCCAGUAAUAAAUUUUUUUAAGAUAGCUAAUAAAAGAGUUGUGAAUUGUCGAGAUAAGAAGUGGUUGUCUCAAACAAUCGGGUAGGAUGGUAGAAGGGACCUGAUGUAAAGGAAGGUAGUAGGUUUCUUUUACUCUCUAAUUCUAAAAUACUUCUGCAUUAGAACGUGUAUCCAUCGUUCGUAAAUAAUUUUUUAAGAGCUGAAAACAAGUCAAAAGCUAUCAUAACGGAAACUUAGCCCUUUUUUUCUAAAGUUGUUUCCUAGAUCAUUUUCCUCCUUGGAAAUUUCUAGCUCAAUUCAGAGUCAGUUGUAUAGAAAGAAAAUAAACCUUGUUUUACCUAAGAAAGUUAUUCAUAUGAUGGGAUGGUUUUGUUUAACUGAAAUUCAGCUUGAUUUUUAAAUAAAGAGUUUCAGUUUUGGAUGUUCCUAGAUUUAACAGUGAAAUAAAUUUAUUAGAAUCUUAAAAUGUAUUAUUUAAAAAUUAGGCACUACACAUGAAGAAUUAAAGUCCAGUCUACUAAUUUUUAAAUAUUUCUUAAGUUCUCUGCAUGAGGUUGGUCUUGAUUCCUGCAGAUCCACUCUGGAGUUAAAUGCAAAGGAAUAUUGAUAUAUAAUUUCAUUAUACUUGAUUUCAGAAUUUUUAAUACAUACUUGUAAGACAAAAAUUUAGAGCUGAUUUUUAAAAGGCUAGUGCUAAUAUAAAAUCUUCAAAUACUACCCAAUGUAUUUUUAGUAUUAGUAAUAAAUAUGCCUGUUUAUUUGUCCCCAAGAACAUAAAGAGGUCUAUAGAAUUUUUAAAUGUAUAUAGGUUGUUGUAGGGGUUGUAGGAUUUGUUUUUGUGUGUUUUUUUUUUACUAAAAUGAUUUUUAUUUGUGAAUUUUUUAAAUGUUUGUGUUUUCCUGAAGUAGUAGGAAAUCAAUCGUAUUAAGUUAUUUUAAACAGUGAAGUGGGAGAUGUAUCAUUAUAUAGCUUAAUAUUUAGGGAAAAAAAAGGAACAAAAAUUUAGGUUGUCUUUACGCUCUAACUUGACCACAUGGACAAAGGAGGUGAUUUGUAUUUCUUCAAUGAUUAUAUUUUACAUACACAAGUCAAACUUAUUUUUUCAACCUUGAAAUAAAAUCAUGUAGACAAAAA